GAUGAACGCUGGCGGCGUGCCUAAUACAUGCAAGUAGAACGCUGAAGGAGGAGCUUGCUUCUCUGGAUGAGUUGCGAACGGGUGAGUAACGCGUAGGUAACCUGCCUGGUAGCGGGGGAUAACUAUUGGAAACGAUAGCUAAUACCGCAUAAGAGUAGAUGUUGCAUGACAUUUGCUUAAAAGGUGCAAUUGCAUCACUACCAGAUGGACCUGCGUUGUAUUAGCUAGUUGGUGAGGUAACGGCUCACCAAGGCGACGAUACAUAGCAGACCUGAGAGGGUGAUCGGCCACACUGGGACUGAGACACGGCCCAGACUCCUACGGGAGGCAGCAGUAGGGAAUCUUCGGCAAUGGACGGAAGUCUGACCGAGCAACGCCGCGUGAGUGAAGAAGGUUGUCGGAUCGUAAAGCUCUGUUGUAAGAGAAGAACGAGUGUGAGAGUGGAAAGUUCACACUGUGACGGUAUCUUACCAGAAAGGGACGGCUAACUACGUG
RNAcentral lists this ribosomal RNA (495 nucleotides) under uncultured bacterium. Its description in RNAcentral is "partial 16S ribosomal RNA". It matches the Rfam family "Bacterial small subunit ribosomal RNA", at positions 28 to 507 of the family's 1533-position model. The record is from RNAcentral.